GGAAUAUUGGUCAAUGGAGGGAACUCUGAACCAGCCAUGCCGCGUGAGGGAAGAAGGCCCUACGGGUUGUAAACCUCUUUUAGCCGGGAGUAAUAAGGCUCAUGCGUGGGCCGAUGAGAGUACCGGCGGAAUAAGCAUCGGCUAACUCCGUGCCAGCAGCCGCGGUAAUAUGGAGGAUGCGAGCGUUAUCCGGAUUUAUUGGGUUUAAAGGGUGCGCAGGCGGCGCGUUAAGUCAGCGGUGAAAUGUCCCGGCUCAACCGGGGAGCUGCCGUUGAUACUGGCGUGCUGGGGUGCGGACGGCGCCGGCGGAAUUAGUGGUGUAGCGGUGAAAUGCAUAGAUAUCACUCAGAACACCGAUCGCGAAGGCAGCUGGCGAGGCCGCUACUGACGCUGAGGCACGAAAGCGUGGGGAUCAAACA
This 419-nucleotide ribosomal RNA is filed under the name uncultured bacterium. Its description in RNAcentral is "bacterial SSU rRNA". It matches the Rfam family "Bacterial small subunit ribosomal RNA", at positions 358 to 774 of the family's 1533-position model. The record is from RNAcentral.